RNAcentral lists this ribosomal RNA (387 nucleotides) under uncultured bacterium. RNAcentral describes it as "bacterial SSU rRNA". It matches the Rfam family "Bacterial small subunit ribosomal RNA", at positions 27 to 418 of the family's 1533-position model. The record is from RNAcentral.
GGACGAACGCUGGCGGCGUGCUUAACACAUGCAAGUCGAGCGGUAAGGCCCUUUCGGGGGUACACGAGCGGCGAACGGGUGAGUAACACGUGGGUGACCUGCCCUCAGCUCUGGGAUAAGCCCGGGAAACUGGGUCUAAUACCGGAUAUGACUCCAUGACGCAUGUUGUGGGGUGGAAAGCCUUGUGCGGCUGAGGAUGGGCCCGNGGCCUAUCAGCUUGUUGGUGGGGUNAUGGCCACCAAGGCGACGACGGUAGCCGGCCUGAGAGGGCGACCGGCCACACUGGGACUGAGAUACGGCCCAGACUCCUACGGGAGGCAGCAGUGGGGAAUAUUGCGCAAUGGCCUAACGGCUGACGCAGCGACGCCGCGUGGGGAUGACGCUUUU